Molecule: long non-coding RNA, 875 nt
Organism: Ceratitis capitata (Mediterranean fruit fly)
Lineage: Eukaryota; Metazoa; Arthropoda; Insecta; Diptera; Tephritidae
Exons: 2
Source: RefSeq, a predicted model, not a curated record
UAUAUUUCGUGUCAGAAAUGCACCAAGAGGCGACCGAAAUUUGAGUAACCAGGACACGAGCCCUUCCGUUUCAUAGUCGGCAGCUCUCCCCACAAAAUGACAACUAACCGUUUUGGAUGAGCCUCUAGGCACCUGCUGAAGCAUAUCAUUUAGUCACCCACAAGCUACUUGGCAUUCGUCACACCGGUAGUUGUGAUUUCGAAUGGCGGAUAUUAUCAUGUUAGUAACGCUGCAAUGAAGCAAGCACAAAUAUUUUCCUAACCAGAAACAAUCACAUGCAUUGCUAACGGUAAGUGCUGGAGGAGAAAGAAAUUUUAGUGUUCCCUGCCGCAAUGUUGCACAUACUUAGCUGAGCUGUUGCAAAUUUUUCGCGCCGAAGCCGAGGAAAAUAUUUAAUUUCGUUAGCCAAUAAAAUCACGUCCGCACUUUUCCCAGCCAGCGAGGCAGCCGAGCUGACAUCUAGCAGUCUACGAGUGGGUUACCGCGGACUCAGUGGCAAAUGGUCAUUCGAUAUGCAAGACAAACAAUGAAAAUGAGCAGUGAGCAGGUGAGUUGGGCCAUGGGUGAUGGGUGAUGUUUGGUAGCGCAAAUGUGACCGUGACGUAUGCGAAAAUUACUGGGAAUUUUAUGCUGUCGACUGGUCGUUGCCUGCUGCCCACACCAGCCCAAAAUCACCACUCACUGCAGAAGCUGUGAAAGUAGCGGCGACCAGUUGCCACUGCCACCGGAGACCGGCCGCCGAGCGUAGCCCGCAACGGUAGUGGACAUUAUGACCGGCCAGGUGCGAACAAUUUUGUCAAUUUGUUUUGCUGAACAUUUUUCAUGUUUUUCAGUUUUUGUGGGUGCAACACCGUGUGGAAAGUGGCUGUUGGUGG